CAGAGGUGGCAAGCGUUGUUCGGAAUUACUGGGCGUAAAGGGCGCGUAGGCGGCCUACUAAGUCAGACGUGAAAUCCCCGGCUUAACCUGGGAACUGCGUCUGAUACUGGAAGGCUAGAGUAUGGGAGAGGGAUGUAGAAUUCCAGGUGUAGCGGUGAAAUGCGUAGAUAUCUGGAGGAAUACCGGUGGCGAAGGCGGCAUCCUGGACCAUUACUGACGCUGGGGCGCGAAAGCUAGGGGAGCAAACGGGAUUAGAUACCCCGGUAGUCCUAGCCCUAAACGAUGAAUGCUUGGUGUGGCGGGUAUCGAUCCCUGCCGUGCCGAAGCUAACGCAUUAAGCAUUCCGCCUGGGGAGUACGGUCGCGAGGCUG
RNAcentral lists this ribosomal RNA (371 nucleotides) under uncultured organism. RNAcentral describes it as "bacterial SSU rRNA". It matches the Rfam family "Bacterial small subunit ribosomal RNA", at positions 526 to 896 of the family's 1533-position model. The record is from RNAcentral.